GAAAUUGAAAUCGCAGUGAAGAUGCUGUGUACCCGCGGCUAGACGGAAAGACCCCGUGAACCUUUACUACAGCUUGGCACUGAACAUUGAACCUACAUGUGUAGGAUAGGUGGGAGACUUUGAAGCAGAGACGCUAGUUUUUGUGGAGUCGUCCUUGAAAUACCACCCUUGUAGUUUUGAUGUUCUAACGUUGGCCCCUGAAUCGGGGUUACGGACAGUGCCUGGUGGGUAGUUUGACUGGGGCGG
RNAcentral lists this ribosomal RNA (246 nucleotides) under Pseudoalteromonas sp. SG44-17. RNAcentral's name for it is "partial 23S ribosomal RNA". It matches the Rfam family "Bacterial large subunit ribosomal RNA", at positions 2038 to 2282 of the family's 2925-position model. Lineage: Bacteria; Pseudomonadati; Pseudomonadota; Gammaproteobacteria; Alteromonadales; Pseudoalteromonadaceae. The record is from RNAcentral.